AGGUUUCUGGGGGUCCUUAUGGGUCCUUAUGGGUCCCUAUGGGGUCUCUAUGGGUCCCUAUGGGUCUCUAUGGGGUCUCUAUGGGUCCCUAUGGGUUCCUCUUUGAGUCCCUAUAGGGUCCUUAUGGGUCCCUAUGUGCCUCUAUGGGGUCCCUAUGGGGUCUCUAUGUAUCCCUAUAGGUCCCUCUUUGAGUCCCUAUAGUUUCUGGGGGUCUCUGGGGUUCCCACGUUUCCACGUCCCACGUUUCCAUGUUCCCAUGACCCCAUAAUCCCAAAAUCCCAUGUUCCCACAUUUCCACAUUCCCACAUUUCCAUGUUCCCAUGUUCCCACGUUCCCAUGUUUCCAGACCCCAUGUUCCCACAUUCCCACGUUCCCAUGUUCCCUUUCCAUGUUCCCACGUUCCCACGUUUCCACGUUCCCAUGUUCCCUUUCCAUGUUCCCAUGUUCCCACAUUUCCACGUUCCCACAUUUCCAUGUUCCCAUGAUCCCAUAUUUCCACGUUCCCAUGUUCCCACAUUCCCACGUUCCCACAUUCCCAUGUUCCCAUGUUCCCAUGAUCCCAUAUUUCCACGUUCCCAUGUUCCCAUGUUCCCACGUUCCCACAUUCCCAUGUUUCCAUGUUCCCAUGAUCCCAUGUUCCCACGUUCCCACAUUUCCACGUUCCCACGUUCCCACAUUCCCAUGUUUCCAUGUUCCCAUGAUCCCAUAUUUCCACGUUCCCAUGUUCCCACAUUCCCAUGUUCCCACAUUUCCACGUUCCCACAUUUCCAUGUUCCCACGUUCCCACAUUUCCAUGUUCCCAUGUUCCCAUGUUCCCACAUUUCCAUGUUUCCACGUUCCCAUGUUUCCAGACCCCAUGUUCCCAUGUUCCCACGUUCCCAUGUUCCCAUGUUCCCACAUUUCCAUGUUCCCUUUCCAUGUUCCCUUUCCAUGUUCCCACGUUCCCAUGUUCCCACAUUUCCACAUUUCCACCUUCCCAUGUUUCCAGACCCCACCUUCCCACCUUCCCACAUCUCCACAUUUCCACAUCCCACCUCCCCACCCCCCCAAACCCCCCCUCACCUCGGGCUGACCACAUCCUGCGGUGCCUGGAACCACUCCUGCAAUUUACUCUCCAGCCCCACUCCCACCUUAACCAGGUAGGAGCUGGGAUCCACGCAGCAGGCCCAGUAGCUCCUGCCCUGCGUCACGGCCACGUCUCCGAUCACCACCUCGACGGAGAGGUGGCAGCUGCUCAGCAGCCUUUCGGCAGCGAAAAGCAUCGGGACCCCCGGCACGCUGCGCACCGCGCGCUGGUCCUUACUGAUGGCCAGCCGGUCCCGAUUGAAACCCCAGCGGUUGUCCAGGAAGAAAUUGAGGACUGCAAUGAGGAGGGGGGGGGAAGGGGGUGGUGAGAGAUGUGAUGUGGGAAUGGGGGAUGGGGGGAGCUGAGCCCCUUUGAUGUGACCUGGUACCCAUCUGUAGGGUGGCAUCCUGCAUAUAGAAGUAGGGGAGGGGUCCUAAGGAGCACAGGGAUGCUCAGAGGAUGGAGGAGGAGGAGGAGGAAGGAGGAGGACAGUGAUGUGGGAAUGGGGGUAGGGGGAGCUGAGCCCCCUUUUGCCCAUUUGUAGGGUGGCAUCCUGCAUAUGGAGGUAGGGGAGGGGUCCUAAGGGGUGCAGGGAUGCUCAGAGGAUGGAGGAGGAGGAGGAGGAGGAGGAGGAGGAGGAGGAGGAAGGAGGAGCUGUGCUUUGGGUCGUGCUUUUGGGCAUCUGCUGGUCCUUACUGAUGGCCAGCCCCCUAAACCCUCCCAAUCCCCCCCAGCCCCCCCCCAAAGCCCUCCCUAAACCCCCCCAAAGUC
Molecule: long non-coding RNA, 1837 nt
Organism: Phasianus colchicus (ring-necked pheasant)
Lineage: Eukaryota; Metazoa; Chordata; Aves; Galliformes; Phasianidae
Source: Ensembl